GUCUUCGUAGUAUAUAAAAUACCUUGGUCUUGUAAACCAAAAAAGGAGGCACCCACCCUCCCUAAGACU
This 69-nucleotide transfer RNA is filed under the name Crossarchus platycephalus (flat-headed kusimanse). RNAcentral describes it as "tRNA-Thr". Lineage: Eukaryota; Metazoa; Chordata; Mammalia; Carnivora; Herpestidae. The record is from RNAcentral.